CUCUUAUCAAGAGUUGGCAGAGGGACUUGGCCCGAUGACGCCGCAGCAACCGACCGCAAAACCAAUCAUUGGUUUUAAUUUGGAUCUUUUUCCAAUAGGGCACGGUGCUAAUUCCAUCAGAAAGACAUUCUUUCUGACAGAUGAGAG
This 147-nucleotide non-coding RNA is filed under the name Metabacillus harenarius. Its description in RNAcentral is "Bacillus weihaiensis SAM-I sequence". It matches the Rfam family "SAM riboswitch aptamer (S box leader)". From Rfam's summary of the family: The SAM riboswitch is found upstream of a number of genes which code for proteins involved in methionine or cysteine biosynthesis in Gram-positive bacteria. The SAM riboswitch acts at the level of transcription termination control. The record is from Rfam by way of RNAcentral. Lineage: Bacteria; Bacillati; Bacillota; Bacilli; Caryophanales; Bacillaceae.